This 497-nucleotide ribosomal RNA is filed under the name uncultured bacterium. Its description in RNAcentral is "partial 16S ribosomal RNA". It matches the Rfam family "Bacterial small subunit ribosomal RNA", at positions 28 to 507 of the family's 1533-position model. The record is from RNAcentral.
GAUGAACGCUGGCGGCGUGCCUAAUACAUGCAAGUCGAGCGAACAGACGAGGAGCUUGCCCCUUUGAAGUUAGCGGCGGACGGGUGAGUAACACGUGGAUAACCUACAUAUAAGACUGGGAUAACUUAGGGAAACCGGAGCUAAUACCGGAUAACAUGUUGAACGGCAUGGUUCAUCAGUGAAAGACGUUCUUGCUGUCACUUAUAGAUGGAUCCGCGCCGCAUUAGCUAGUUGGUAAGGUAACGGCUUACCAAGGCAACGAUGCGUAGCCGACCUGAGAGGAUGAUCAGUCACACUGGAACUGAGACACGGUCCAGACUCCUACGGGAGGCAGCAGUAGGGAAUCUUCCGCAAUGGGCGAAAGCCUGACGGAGCAACGCCGCGUGAGUGAAGAAGGUCUUCGGAUCGUAAAACUCUGUUAUUAGGGAAGAACAAAUGUGUAAGUAACUAUGCACGUCUUGACGGUACCUAAUCAGAAAGCCACGGCUAACUACGUG